CGGACGGGUGAGUAAUGUCUGGGAAACUGCCCGAUGGAGGGGGAUAACUACUGGAAACGGUAGCAAUACCGCAUAACGUCGCAAGACCAAAGAGGGGGACCUUCGGGCCUCUUGCCAUCGGAUGUGCCCAGAUGGGAUUAGCUAGUAGGUGGGGUAACGGCUCACCUAGGCGACGAUCCCUAGCUGGUCUGAGAGGAUGACCAGCCACACUGGAACUGAGACACGGUCCAG
This 231-nucleotide ribosomal RNA is filed under the name uncultured bacterium. RNAcentral describes it as "partial 16S ribosomal RNA". It matches the Rfam family "Bacterial small subunit ribosomal RNA", at positions 99 to 334 of the family's 1533-position model. The record is from RNAcentral.